This 429-nucleotide unclassified non-coding RNA is filed under the name uncultured fungus. Its description in RNAcentral is "partial contains small subunit ribosomal RNA, internal transcribed spacer 1, and 5.8S ribosomal RNA". The stretch from base 1 to 73 matches the Rfam family "Eukaryotic small subunit ribosomal RNA", at positions 1759 to 1831 of the family's 1831-position model. Lineage: Eukaryota; Fungi. The record is from RNAcentral.
UCAAACUUGGUCAUUUAGAGGAAGUAAAAGUCGUAACAAGGUCAUCGUAGGUGAACCUGCGGUGGGAUCAUUAAAGGAUUCUUAUUAUUCCCUUUUCUAGGAAAGGGGGGUAUGGAGUGUGGUUCCUGAAGGGUAUAGCCUUGGUAUGGGAGAGAGUCUUUUUCUCCCUGCCAAAAAAAAGAGCUUGGGGUUUGGGUUUGGGUUUGCUGCCUGCUUGCUACUACUGCUACCUUGUGUGGGUGGUGGUGGUGGGGGUAGGCAGAGCCCCGCCCGCCGCCCCCCUUGCUCUUUGUCCUUGACAACUCUUAUGAAACUCUUUUUCAUAACCAAAAUUUCUUACCAAUUGCUAGUUGUAAAAGACUACUAAAUAAUGUUUAUACAACUACCAAUGGCGGAUCACUUGGCUCUUGCAUCGAUGAAGAACGCAGC